Molecule: non-coding RNA, 7539 nt
Organism: Heterocephalus glaber (naked mole-rat)
Lineage: Eukaryota; Metazoa; Chordata; Mammalia; Rodentia; Bathyergidae
Source: RefSeq, a predicted model, not a curated record
AGGCUCCUCCAUUCUCGGCACAAGUAGCCCUCACUGCCCUUAAAAUCCAGAUGCUUCCCUUGCUGAUGCCUGUAUCCUCAGGUACAGGCAUCUUCUGUUGUGUCUUGUAAUUACAUCUCUGAACCAGUGGGUUUAUUUUAUAAGGACAAAAAGAUUUUUACAAAAUUUAUGGUCAAAUUCGUAGCCCACCUCUACCAGCUGUUCAGAAUUGGUGAGUACUCAUUUCUGCUGCUAUUCUUAUCCCAGGUUUAUUAUUUCCAUAUUUUCCCUCUUUGCUGGUCCCCCACCUCCACUGCAAUAGAAAAUUGUUAUAGAAUUUGAUCUAUACGAUGCAGUUUUAAAUGGAGGCAAUAUCAUCCCUAGGAGGCUAAAAAUUGAUUUGAGAGGGCAAAAAUCUUACUUUGUACAAGCUCCUGUAUGCGAAUCCUACAGUACAUAAACAGAGAUUACACCUGUAGUGUUAGAUUUUCAUUGAGGGACUCCUUAGGGGGAUGACAUAGGGAAAAAGGGUCAAGAAUCAGUAAUUGAUGAGUCACCCAUGAACUUGAGUAGCCCAUCUACACUGACCCCUUCCCAUGACACGGCUGCUCAGAAGUUAGGCAACAAGCAGAAGUCCAGCCACUUCUACUGCUUGGCCACUUCCCACGUGCUUUGUUUGGGCAACUAAAACCUGCAGUGUGACCUUUGCUUCCAUCUCUGGAGACCAGUGGCUCUCCCUUUAGCGGCUUAUAGAGUAACCUGCCGAGGGACAGUGUGUUCCAAGCAGAGCCCUUGGUCUCACCUCGGUAAGUCUGGGUGUUCAGUGGAUCCCGAUGAACCCUCUACAGAGCCUCCACUUGGGAAUCAGGCACUAAGGUGAAUAGUGUUUCAUCCCAAACUUCAAUGAAAGGGGUGAGGGUGGGGGCCAAUUUGACUUUAUUACUAAAGAGCUCCAUCCCAGAUAAUCCACUAAUCAAACACCAGGGUUCAUUGUAUGCAUGGUGGGCUGACUGGCCUUAGACUGUUCAGAAAGUCCCUUCCCCUGUGUGCUGUAGGGGCAGGUCUCCUGUCCUCCAGCCCAGGAGUAGGGCAUUCCACUGGGCACAGUGGGCUCCACUUGCCCUCACUGCUUGUGGGUGAUGCAAGCCCAGCAUGACAGGCUGUGGAAAGUAUGUUCAGGUGCUUGGCUCCCUCAGCCUAAAGCCUUUUAAAUCAGGAUCCAGAUUUGAUUUGAUUUUCCUUGCCUUCCUGGCUCAGACUCCUCCAGGCUUAUUUUUCUCUCCCCUGUCUGGCUUGCCAGGGUUUGGAGCUAGGGUGAGCCAAGUCCUUCACACUUCACAGGCAGCCUUCCCUCCCAGGGUGAGAUGGUGCACAGCCUCUCACUCCAGCUCCCAGCAGGCCCCAUCCCAUCCUGUCUGCAGCCCCGCUGGGGUUUUUGGGUGAGAAGGACCUGCACUUCAUAGAGGAGCUGCCUGGGUACUUGGUGUGUUAUCAAAUGAGAGACAAACAAGUUUGAGCAGAGGCAGGGAACAGGAACCACACUUGAAGGGGUCAUCAGAGCAUGAGUCCUACCUUCCUUCACAGCACCCAGCACUCAGGGCUGGGGUGUCUGGCACAGGCAUGAGAGGAGCAGAUCUAGAGCCUCAGUGAUUACAGGAUGUGAAUCUUCUGAAUGCAAGGGCAGCAUCUUGGUCUCUGUCACCUUUUUAUUCCAGGGGUCCUGCAUGUGAUUAAUGUUAUCAAAGCGAACCAACCUGCAAACUGCCUAGUGCAGUCAGCCCUGAGUGCCACAACCAUCCCAGGUCACCAGGGGUCAACUGGUGAACACACUAAGAGGACAACUAGGUCCCUACUCCAAAAUCUUGUUUACAUUUUGUGCUUAGGACAUCAUGGAGUUCUGGAGCAGGAAAGGGCCCAGAAGUCAUCUGGUUUGACCUCCUCAUUUCAUAGAUGAAGAAACUCAAGUCCAGAGGCCAGAGUGCACUAGAGACCAAUACCCAGGCACAUGACCACCAGGCCAGCCCUCCCUCCAGAUCACUCUAGCAGUGUGAAGAGAAGCCAGAUCUGUGAAAAUCAACAGACUCCCGGCCAAAGACGGUUGAAAGGAUGGCAUUUUGGCAUCACCAGGCUGACUGCGGCACCCUAAUAUACUGUAUUUAAAUCCAUCCUCACUCAGUGAUGGGUGGGGCUCCAUCCUAGAGGCCUUGGAGAACCCACAGAUGAGUAAGAAAUUUCUCUCAAGGGGCUGUCAUUCUUCUGAUAAGUACCUAAACAUCCAGAACACAAAGCCAAAGGUAUACAGCACAGCAGGCAAGGAGAAGCAGGGUGGGCUCCCUGGAAGAGGUGACAUUUGGAAGAAGCUGGUUAGUACUCUGAUAUGCUUAGGGUGUGGACUCCAGUUAGUGAAGAUGACAGAAGUCUAAGAGGACCUGCUCAGGGACCUUGGUGCAUGGCACAGGCCUGGGCAGCAAAGCAGUGAGUAGAAAGCUUGUAAGAGAACUGACCUAGCAUAACUGAGAAAGCUGAAAGCCAGGCAGCAAGCCUGGACUCAAAAGCAUGGAAAGGUUCUGGUCCACUUAAAGCCCCUUGUUGGGAAGGACCUCACAAAAGGUCAGCCUGGAAGGUGCAGAAGGACAAACACCUGGGAACACAAGGCCACAAGUCUUCAUGCCUCUGCCACCCGCAGAUGGAUGGAGAGAUUUGAUUCAGGAAAGGUGGUUAGAUAUGUCAGGUCUCAUUCUUCAUCUGGCUCUCCAGGAGACCACUGUCCUGAGUCCCUGGUGCUCCCCGCACACGUGUCACCUCACCGAAUUCUGCAAAAUGUUCUCCAAGUGAUGAGGAGUGAAAGAGAGACAACUAGCAUGCACUACUCUCAACCUAGAAGAGGUCUGUACACUGUAAGAUGCUACACUAAGUAUAGCAUAUUAUUAAAAAUAAGAUGUAAUCAGAAUAAACUAUAAAGGAAACUCUACCACCAAGAUACAAACAGACCCUGAGUAGAGAAUAAGAUGUUAAAAAUGGAAACAACUGUUUAGAUUAUUUGGUUCAACUCCCAACCUGGUUUAUAGAUUGCAAAUCAACAUCCUCGCUAAUGAGGACUCUGCCCUCCUCACCUACUUCAGCACUAAACAUCAAGCUUCCAGUUCAUGGUAAAGUGCAGAGUAAGCACUGAUUGAGUGAAUCAAAUCCAAACACUCAAAAUCUGUCUGGAAUAAAUACAGAACAUUACUUAGAGAAGGCAAGAGAAUAUUUAGAAAAAUCUGUGAACUGAACAAAAAAUAAUCUCUCUUUGCCAGGCACCCAGUAGGAGCUGGCAGUGAAGUAUGUUUUUAAAAAAUAAGGUAUGUGAAACAGAUCACACACUAUAAUAUCUAAGUCACAGGAUUUCAGAACUCAAAUGGCCUUUUAAGGGUCAUCCAAACCAUGACUUUAUAAGAAGGAAUCUAAAGUUCAAGGAGACGUAGUAGUCUGUCUAAAGUUUUAAAGCAACUCCAUAGCAACUAGAUCCUCAGUCCAGAGAUCUUUCCACAGCACAUUAUGUUAAUUAUCUAAUUAAAUUCUAAAUUGUAGAGUGCAGAGUAUAACCCUCCUGGAAUGUGGCAAUGGAAGAGAAUACGAGGGGAUGGACGAGCUGGAAAAAGGUUCAUAGAAGAGGAAAAAGUUAAUUUUCUGUUUCCCAAGUAGAUAGCUCAUUAGUUGUGAGAUCAGCGAAGGUGAUAGUCACAUUUGCUUUUUCUAUGAAUCCCCAGCAUCUUGAGCACACAAGAAACUCAACUAGUGGUCAGUUUUAUAAAAAACCAAAAGUAGCAUCUUUAUUACUAACUUUGAAGGAGGUUACAUAUAGUAAGGUCUGAACAUACCCAGUUCUGUGGAACUGCACAAAAGGGACAAAUGACCUCACUCGGGUGCCGUCCCCCACGCCUCUGCAGACCCUCACUAAUGCCCAGCCCUGGUGUCCUGGCCCUGGCCAAGCAGAGCGCACUGUGAGGGUAAGAACACCUGAAUCAGGGCCUGACUCUCAUGGCUCACUGCGGCACGCAGGUUUGUUUCCGUUUCAAGGCAGACAGUCAGGACAGUCAGAAACAGUUAAAACAAUAGGGCCCCACAGGCCUUCUUAGCAAAGACAGAUGUAUCUGGAUAGCGCCAGCUUCUUUUCUCUGAUAGAAAACCUGUCACCAAGACAUUUUAAAGAUGUAGACACUUAAAGAAUUUCCAACAAAAAAUGCUAUUCACACGCUUCCAAAUUUCAUGCAGUGAACAUGUCGAUGAUUUUAUGUAGCUGUUACCAGUCUGUGCACAGUGUCCUUUCCGCUUUACAUUAUUCACACACAUUUCCACUUAUGAAAGGAAGUAUCAAAAAUGCCAAGUACACGAUUAUGUAAUAUCUGCCACAUUGAUGGGUAUUUAAUGAUCUUCCUCUGAGCACAAACUGGUUCCUUUUUGCUGUUAUGAAAAGUGCUCUGAACAUCUUUUUUCCUUGUCCUUUAAGAGUUAAGCUGGUGUCGGAAGUGGAAUCUGUGCACAGCAUAUCUAUGGUUUUACUGCCCCUGUGACAUCCUACCAGUCUGAGCCCCAAGAAGGCUACACCAAUCCUUAGUGCUCCCAGCAAAGGAAACCUCUCAUCUCCUCACAGCCUCAACAGUGGGCUCUUGGUAGCUUUUAUUUUGCUAGUCUUUCAGGUACAUAAAUACUUGAAAGGGAUUUUAAUUUCCACUUGUUUAAUUGUCAGCAGUGUUGUGUAAUGUAUUUUGAUGCAGUUACAUAUUUUCUGUGCCCAAACUUUGUCUACUGUUUUUUUUCCAUUUAAAUUGUCUCUUCAACUUUGAACAUUUACCAGAUAGAAUCUGGACACUGAACUCAGAGAGCUGUACCAAAUAUUUUUAUAUGCAUUUUAUUACACUUUUUAAAUUAUAAAGAUAAUUUCUAGCUACUGUUUAAAAAUUACAGCAAUAUGAAUAUGUAUAAAGUACAAGCGGAAAACUGAGGUUAUAAAUUGGCAAAGGGUUUCUUUUUCUCUUACUCUUUCUAUCCCUUUCAUAAUUCUAAGUAAUAUUCUGUAUCUGUUAAGUGACACAAAAAUAUGAAAACUAUAUAUAUUAAUGGAUGCAAUAUAAUGUCUUGAUAGAUGUACACAUUGUGUAAUUUUUGAGUCAGAUUAAACAUAUCUGUCUCCUCAAACAUUGAUCAAUUUUUAUGCUGAAAACUUUCAAAAUCCUUUCUUAUAGCUUUACAGAACUUCCUGCCAUAUGGCAGAAUUUCCUGCUCCUAACUGUGACUAAGUACCCUUAGUUAAUCUUUCCUCUGGUGACCACCAUUCUACUCUCAACUUCUUCGUAUCUAUUUUUUUUUUCAGAGUUGGAGAUUUAACCCAAGGCCUUCACACAGAGCUACAUCCCAGCCUUUUAAUUUUUAUGUAUCUAUUUUUAAGACAGGCCUUGGUAAGUCCCUAGGUUGCCCAGGUGGGGCUGGAACUUGUGAUCCUCCUGUCUCAUCCUCUCAGAGUGCUGGGAUCUGUGCCACCACACCUGGCUUCUAUUUUUUGAUUUAAGAAAUUAGACAUCACUCGUUCCACUCUGAAUGACGAAAAUUUUCUAUGGCUUACACUGCUCUCCUCUUUCCAACCUGUCUUGAUUUUUAGAUCUCUUAUUGGGCAUUUAUGGUGAGGCCACAAACUCAAAUGUCCACAGAGUUUGGGCAGGAAACCUAAAUACAGAAAGUGGAUCCAGGCAAGAAACAUCUGGAGGCUGUUUCUGCCCAUUUUCUGCUGUCCACCUGGAACGGGAAGGGAAGAGAAGCAGCAAAGAGAAUGAGCAACAGGCACUUGGCCUUUGUGUUAGGAGGUAGCUGGGAAUAAGGAGAUUAGCAAUGUGGGCAAGACCCGUGAAUGCCACCCACUGAGAAAGUGGAAAUGUUGCCAGAUCUCAUUUUUAUGAACAAACAUUCAUAAAUAAAUUGUAAGCUUCCCAUUUGUACAUCUUAGUUCAAACUUUUGGAGACCACCGCCAGCCAAAUACAAAAGCUCUCUGCACCUAAUCUGGCCAAUGAGUUGACCAUUUUUUACCUCUAUCACUAGGGUUUUAAGUCAUAUACUUAAACCUCUGUUUCCUGACCCAUCCUUUUUUUUUUUUUUGUACCAGGGAUCGAACUCAGGACCUUACACUUUCAAGGCAGGCACAGCACCACUUAGCUAAAUCCCUGGCCCUGACCCAUCCAUUUUAGAUGCUAUCUCUUCCCUUCCUAUUGUACAAGAUGAGGACUUCAGUGUUCCUAUACUUUUUUCUUCUAGUCUUUACUUUACCUUCACCACUGCUUUACUUUUGGCUUGUCAAAGCUUAAGAAUUUAUUUUCUAUUCUGUAACUAUAACUAACACUAUUGAGCUAUACCUAUGGGUUGAUCCUAAAAAGAGCAAUUUUCUUGACAGCAAUAUUAUAUUGUAUACAUGUUGGCCUCAAACAUCUAGUGGCCAUGAAUGAGUUAUUCAGAAUCACUGACUGAAGAACCAGUUUCCCAAUGUAGGCAGCCAUGGUGGCUUUUCUGCCUCUCAGGUUGGUCCUGUCUCCCUGAACAAGAGGCUCCACAUGGGGCACAUCUCUGGGCAGGCUGACUUAAUGUUAGUCUGUGAAGGGAGUGGACAGCACGGUCGAUAAUUUCCACCUUAUGGAAAAGUGAAAGAUUUUUUCUUGAGACACUGACAAUAGCUACACUAAGACUUCAGUUUUGUUCAUAUAGAUAGUAAUCCAUACAGAUGGUCAAUUACCCUGAUUUCUACCUUACAGUCUACUUCUACUCUUGGAAUUCUUUCAUUUCAAACAUAUGGUUUCCCCUUCUGCCAAGGCCUUCCCUCUUAUCUGUUCUGGUGGACAGAGCUUAUAGAGCAGUGGUGGUGAACUGAUGACAUGUGUCUGCAGUGGGCUGUUUGAUAUCAUCAAAAGCUGUAAAAGGUUCACCAUCACUGCUAUACAGCCUUCAAUAUAAUCCCAAGAAAAUCUCUCAGCCACUAAUGUCCUCUUCUGUUAUUAGUGCAGUCCUGAAUUUACUCUUUGAAUUUUUUUUUCUAAUACUGUGAAUUGAACCUAGGGUGUCAUGCAUGAUAGGCAAGUGGUCUACCACUGAGUUAUACGCUCAUCCCUGUUUAUUUUUUUUUUCAGACAAGAUCUUGCUAAGCUCCCCAGGCUGGCCUCAAACUUGGGAUCCUCUUGUAUCAGCCCCUGGACAGCUGGGGUGAUAGGUGUGCACUCUCUCAUUUGAACUUCUCUGUUUAUUUCAGUGGCAUAUUUGGGAAGGAGAAAGUUAGUAAAUCUGUUUACUACAUCAUUUUGAGCUCGAAGUGGCCACCAAAUGCUAACAAUUACACAGUUUCAGCAAUACCUGUCGUCUUUCACAUCCUCUUGCUUUAGGAAUUCCGUGGCAGCCUGGAACAGACAGCUGUGGAAAUCUGGGGAGCACAUUCAAGCUUGCUGGGAAAGCAAGGUUAGCUUUCUUUACCAAAGAUGAAAGACACAUACUGUCUCAACGAAAGAUGACAUUGUUCUUCAGAUAAAUCCUAUGUCCUAAGUAAA